This 443-nucleotide ribosomal RNA is filed under the name uncultured bacterium. RNAcentral describes it as "partial 16S ribosomal RNA". It matches the Rfam family "Bacterial small subunit ribosomal RNA", at positions 339 to 795 of the family's 1533-position model. The record is from RNAcentral.
CUACGGGUGGCAGCAGUCGAGAAUCUUCCACAAUGCACGAAAGUGUGAUGGAGCGACGUCGCGUGCGAGAUGAAGGCCUUCGGGUCGUAAAUCGUUUUUAUAAGGGAAGAAUUUAGAUGACAUUACCUUAUGAAUAAGGGGUUGCUAAUUGCGUGCCAGCAGCAGCGGUAAUACGCAAACCCCAAGCGUUAUCCGGAUUUAUUGGGCGUAAAGGGUGGGUAGGCGGAUAUAGCAGUCAGUCGUUAAAUCACUGGGCUCAACCCAGUAAUCGCGAUUGAAACACUAUGUCUAGAGAUAAGUAGAGGUCAACGGAACUCAUGGUGUAGCAGUGAAAUGCGUUGAUAUCAUGGGGAACACCAAAGGCGAAGGCAGUUGACUGGGCUUUAUCUGACGCUGAGCCACGAAAGCGUGGGGAGUGAAGGGGAUUAGAUACCCCCGUAGUC